CCUACUGGCGGCAGCAGUGAGGAAUAUUUGUCAAUGGGCGCGAGCCUGAACCAGCCAAGUCGCGUGACGGAUGAAUGCCCUACGUAUUGUAAACUUCUUUUAUAAAGGAAUAAAGUGAGUCACGUGUGCCUUUUUGUAUGUACUUUAUGAAUAAGGAUCUGCUAACUCCGUGCCAGCAGCCGCGGUAAUACGGCGGAUGCGAGCGUUAUCCGGAUUUAUUGGGUUUAAAGGGUGCGUAGGUGGUUUGUUAAGGCAGCUGUGAAAGUUUGCGGAUCAACCGUAAAAUUGCAAUUGAUACUGGCAGACUUGAGUACAGUAGAGGUAAGCGGAAUUCGUGGUGUAGCGGUGAAAUGCUUAGAUAUCACGAAGAACUCCGAUGGCGAAGGCAGCCUACUAAACUGCCACUGACACUGAGGCGCGAAAGUGUGGGUAUCAAACAGGAUUAGAUACCCUUGUAGUC
Molecule: ribosomal RNA, 460 nt
Filed under: uncultured bacterium
Lineage: Bacteria
Description: partial 16S ribosomal RNA
Rfam family: Bacterial small subunit ribosomal RNA
Source: RNAcentral